GAUCCUGGCUCAGGAUGAACGCUAGCGGCAGGCUUAACACAUGCAAGUCGAGGGGCAGCACGAGGUAGCAAUACUUUGGUGGCGACCGGCGCACGGGUGCGUAACGCGUAUGCAACCUACCUUUAACAGGGGCAUAACACUGAGAAAUUGGCACUAAUUCCCCAUAACAUUCGAGAAGGCAUCUUCUUGGGUUAAAAACUCCGGUGGUUAAAGAUGGGCAUGCGUUGUAUUAGCUAGUUGGUGAGGUAACGG
This 252-nucleotide ribosomal RNA is filed under the name uncultured bacterium. RNAcentral's name for it is "partial 16S ribosomal RNA". It matches the Rfam family "Bacterial small subunit ribosomal RNA", at positions 15 to 263 of the family's 1533-position model. The record is from RNAcentral.